Molecule: long non-coding RNA, 2121 nt
Organism: Ostrea edulis (European flat oyster)
Lineage: Eukaryota; Metazoa; Mollusca; Bivalvia; Ostreida; Ostreidae
Exons: 2
Source: RefSeq, a predicted model, not a curated record
CUUCGCAGUGCGAGGAGCGCACGGAACUCUGGGUAGAGAAUGGUAGAACACGUACAAUAUAUGACGACAAUCACAAAUAUGAGUGACGUAAUACACGUACACUAUAUGGCGACAAUAAUCACAACUUAUCAGUGAAAAGCACCAAGACUUUCUCAUAGAAUAUCUAUGAUAUGGUGGAUGUGAAAACUGUCAUUUUUUGUACAUAUGAUUUUAAAGUCAUCGGGUGGAGGGCAUGGUUAUUAGAAAUUAACAGAUUUUCCGCUGUCGCCAUGGGUGAUUGACAACCGUGUCGAUUUACUACCGGUGUUACAUUGAUUGACAGAAUCUGAAGAUCUGAUUGCAGACAAAGUUAAGUGAAUCUCUACUUUGAUGGAUCGAUAGACUUCAGUAAUAUUUCGUCGUGAUUAGGUCUCUGUUGUCAUGGAUAAAUUUUGACACUCUUUUGUUUUAUUAGUCGGGAGAUAAAUAAUGUAUUUGCUCCGUUUAAUAGUGGUCACAAGGCGCUGAGCAGCGACCAUUGUGAGAACUCACCGCUGUAUGGCGGACGGCGAACUUCACACGGCGCGGAUUUAUUUUUAGUUUUUGUUAAUUGUUUUCUUUGAAGAUAAACCAGGACAGAACUCACAAUAACAAAACGAUGCCCUGACUAAGGAACAUUUUUGUUAUUAUAAAUACAUACUACAGGAAAACAUAUAAUCUUAAUUUGAUUCUCAAUUUAACGCACGAUGACGAAUUCCAUGAAAAUAGAUAUUAAUCUGAAAGUUGGAAUGAAAUAUCUAUUCGCAUGUAUGCACUGCUGCAAUAAAAGUAUCGUAUUUGAUAUUUUCGUCGAAAUGAAAGGAAGCAACGAAUGUCUGUUCUUAAUGAAACAGAAUAAUUCUAUUAAAAGUGUGUUCAAACUUGUAGUUACUUACGGGCAGGGGGGAAAUUCCACCCGGUAUAAUUAAAUUUUCUACAGAUUCUGAAAUCGCCUAUUUGCACGCAUGAUUAGUAUAUUGAGAAUUUUUUAAAAAACACAAAAUUACAAGAAGCCGCCUUUCAUCGCGUUACGGUACAUAUUAAACCAACCUUUUCUUCCUCGAUGCUUUCUGCUUCGUGGAUCCGCCACACCAUUUCCUGACCACAUGUCCCCACCUGUUGCCCCACCCUGUACAGGCGGUGGAUAGGGUUGGCAUCCUCGGAUGCCAGGGAACUUUUAAUUAGAGAUAACAUAUCCAUGAUGCUGACUCACACUCCGGGGAGGGAGGGUCGUAAUCCCAUCACACAGAAUCGCCCGGCAGUCCGCGGAAGUCAAUCCCCCAGAGAAUGGCGGAUACGCAAUCCCUCACUGAACAUCAGCAAACUGCAGAAAGGAAGUGUAAUUAAAAUUUUCCAAGACUGGUAAAGGCGAUUUCUGACCAGUUAGUGGCAUUACGAGGAUUGACAGGCAUGUUUUUCCAAUCGAUGACAGUCGGGGGACAAUGUAUGCAAUAAUUAGACCACUUAUUUCUAUAUCAGGGGAGGGUCUCUUCAGCUGUAGGAGAGGCUUGGCGACAUAAGAUGGCGAUCACCAUUCGAUAGUUAGAUUUGUAUUGAACAUUUCAAACAGCCGGGAACGUUAGAGCGGAAACAUCCGUUUGCUUGUCAUUAUAAGCAUAUCACGGCAAAAACUGCUAUUGAUUUCAAAAUCUAUUGGCGGUGAGGACUAACACAGACUUAUAUACCGCCAAAUCUCUGCCAUCAGUAAACAAGCAAAUGCUGGUGUCCUACACGAUCCAUGCAUCUUGUCGACAUGUCAGGUUCCUUGGUAGAAAGAUGUGAGAGCAGAUAUUCUUGGCCUUAGCUGAAUCAACGCUAGACCACAUUGGAGUAUUCAGAGAUCUAGGAUUACUGUGUACACAGUCUUCAGAAUCAGUGCUGACUGUUUCAGAUCGGGUUCAAUAUACCAGGGUUAAAUCGCGAUUUUAUAGCGCUCUAAGCACUCCCGGGCGCUUUUCCCAAUAGAAGGAACUGUGAGCUGCAUAUGAAAUGUCAAUACGGUAUAGUGGAAUAAAUAGUCACGGUAACGCUCUCCACAUUAAAUAACAAUUUUCUGCAAAAAGUGUAGAUAUCCAAUAAAGUUUUUACUAGUGUGCCUUGAAA